This 446-nucleotide ribosomal RNA is filed under the name uncultured bacterium. RNAcentral describes it as "partial 16S ribosomal RNA". It matches the Rfam family "Bacterial small subunit ribosomal RNA", at positions 338 to 795 of the family's 1533-position model. The record is from RNAcentral.
CCUACGGGUGACAGCAGUCGAGAAUCAUUCACAAUGGGGGAAACCCUGAUGGUGCGACGCCGCGUGGGGGAAUGAAGGUCUUCGGAUUGUAAACCCCUGUCAUGUGGGAGCCAAUUAAAAAGAUAGUACCACAAGAGGAAGAGACGGCUAACUCUGUUCCAGCAGCCGCGGUAAUACAGAGGUCUCAAGCGUUGUUCGGAAUCACUGGGCGUAAGGCGUGCGUAGGCGGUUUCGUAAGUCGUGUGUGAAAGGCGCGGGCUCAACCCGCGGACGGCACAUGAUACUGCGAGACUAGAGUAAUGGAGGGGGAACCGGAAUUCUCGGUGUAGCAGUGAAAUGCGUAGAUAUCGAGAGGAACACUCGUGGCGAAGGCGGGUUCCUGGACAUUAACUGACGCUGAGGCACGAAGGCCAGGGGAGCGAAAGGGAUUAGAUACCCCAGUAGUC